GCUCACUAUUCUACGUAAUUGGCUCUUAUGAAAUUUUUCAAUCUGUUCCAUAUCCUCAGAUCUUGGGAAAGUCUAUUUUUGCUCUCUAAGGGCUUCUUACCCUCUGCCCUACCCCGUUUUAAGGAGAGAUCACUUACCUUUUUCCAUGGGGUAUAGGGGAGGUUGGUGUUCAUGUGGUAGCCAGCAGUAAGGGUCCCAACAGCAGAAGCAGCCACCUUCAGAUUACAACAGUGGAAUAUGGCCUUGUCCUGGAGGUCUGGGCUGGAGACAGGGACAGGGGUCCCUUUCCCUCUUCUGGCACUGAUGACCAAGGGGAGACCAGGGGCCAGGUCCAAUUAGGGGGCACUAGGCCUUAGUGAGAGUUCACAGGCCCCCAGAAUCCAGGCUGAGGUUUGGAUGUUUAUCCAGUUUGGGAAGGCUUCACAGAACACCCAGGGACAAGACUGGAGUUGGGACCCUAGCCCCUGGGCACUCAAGAGAUUACUCCAAAUAGACAUCAACAGAAGACAGCGAAAGAGAUCUGGCUCAUUCUAGACUUCACCAGUCUGGUCCUCUAAUGGGCCAUGAAGGCAGAGGGAUUCAGAGCCAGAUUAGACUUGGCAAGGUGACCAGAAUCCAGCCCUCCAAGGGUGGUUCUCAGAAAGAAGCAAAGACUCCUCUGUCCUUGGAGCUCCUUUACCCUGGGGAUUGAGACCUUGAUUAUUCAUGCAUCAGACUCCUGACUUCCUCAAAGCGCAUGUUAAAUUCAGAAUAUGAUAAAUGAGAAACCAAAUGGAAGGCUCACAGAACUACUUGGCUGCUAGGUGAAUUCCAGAGUCAUCAGGGAGUGUGAGGGUGGGUAAGGGCUUCUGUGCC
This 855-nucleotide long non-coding RNA is filed under the name Marmota monax (woodchuck). The record is from RNAcentral. Lineage: Eukaryota; Metazoa; Chordata; Mammalia; Rodentia; Sciuridae.